This 387-nucleotide unclassified non-coding RNA is filed under the name soil metagenome. Its description in RNAcentral is "partial contains 5.8S ribosomal RNA, internal transcribed spacer 2, and large subunit ribosomal RNA". The stretch from base 1 to 120 matches the Rfam family "5.8S ribosomal RNA", at positions 35 to 154 of the family's 154-position model. The record is from RNAcentral.
GAUGAAGAACGUAGCGAAAUGCGAUAAGUAAUGUGAAUUGCAGAAUUCAGUGAAUCAUCGAAUCUUUGAACGCAUCUUGCGCUCCCUGGUAUUCCGAGGAGCAUGCCUGUUUGAGUGUCAUCUAAAUCCUCAAACCACAUUGAUUCUUUCGGUGUGGCUUUGGAAGUGGGGGUAGUGUUUGCAGGUUUUAUCCUAAGUCUGCUCCCCUGAAAUGCAUUAGUGGUAUCUGAGCAGAAGGAACUACUACAGGUGUGAUAAUUUAUCUAUGCCUUAGUAUACUGCAUAAAACAGAUUACACUGCUUAUAACAAACUUUAUUUCUUUUUUUUGGAGACCUCAAAUCAGGUAGGACUACCCGCUGAACUUAAGCAUAUCAAUAAGCGGAGGA